Molecule: long non-coding RNA, 1150 nt
Organism: Ictalurus punctatus (channel catfish)
Lineage: Eukaryota; Metazoa; Chordata; Actinopteri; Siluriformes; Ictaluridae
Source: Ensembl
AAAUAAAUAAAUAAAUGUCUCUGUGUGUGAAACGCUGAUCUAACUUGGCUGCAAUUUUAAAAGUAGUCCGGUUUCCACAGAAACACACCCUGACAGCCGAGCCCCAGACACCCCCACCCCCGCGAGAAUCCAAAUCUCGCGAUAUGAGAGGAUCGUCUGGUUUGCUGCUCUAAGAUGGCGAAGACAUGUAGGAGUCACUGUCUCAGGCUCGUGAAGAGGAUACAGCAAUGUUUUUCUGAGGAUGGUGUGACCAAAUUGGCUGAGCUUUGGUAAGAGGAUUUUGCAUCUUAAAACAGCCAGUAUUCCUGGGUAUUACUACUUUACUGUUUGUGUCAGUCCACCACUGAUGACAUGUGAUGCUUCUAAUGAUGGAUAUACUAUCUUCAAUCAUCUUUAUUACCUCUGUAUCUCUGUAGCUGAUGGAACCAACAGCAAAUACAGAAAAAACAAGCGAAGACCAUAAGAAAUAGGAUCUCUUUCAUUUUAUGACAAAAAUAUACUCCCUAGAAAGACUGGAUUUAGUCUAUUUGAGCAAUUUAGAUUAGCAAUAUUUAGUGUGGUUAACUAGAAUCUUGAAAUGGUAUAUAAUUUUUAAAAUACAUUUUUCUCUUGACCUAUCAAACUGCACAAUCAGCACUGGUUUCUGUUCAGUAUUCCUGUUCAUGAAGUGACUACAGCUGUAAAUCUGUGCUUCCUCCAGCCUCGGUGUUAUGAUCGUGGACUGUGGUGCUGGGGGCUGUGAGCUGAGGUAGUAGUUUGUAUAGUUUGGGAUCACACCAGAUCUAGGAGAUAACUAUACAGUCUACUGUCUUUCUCACGGCUCCUGCGUCGCAUCAUGCCCUCCAUCAUGGAAGUAGAGAAAAUGUAAAUGGAGCGCUCCAAGUGAAACGUACAGCAUGGGACAUGUUCGGAUGUGGCUUGGGUGUGCUGAGGUAGUAAGUUGUGUUGUUGUGGGGGAUGGUAUUAUUUGCCCUUUUUUUUUUUUGGAGAUAACCAUACAUCUUACUGCCUUCCAUGCCAGAGUCCUGAACCACAGCAAUUAGUAUAAAUAAUUCCAUCCUGAACAAUUGAUGUAUUUUAUUAUAUGCAUUGCCUAUGAAUAUUUUAUCUGUUGUCUGUUCUUCAGGAAGUACAUUCAAUAAACUGAGCA